Contarinia nasturtii (swede midge) is the source of this 2538-nucleotide RNA transcript. It is a transcript of the gene named ubiquitin-like modifier-activating enzyme 1, with no coding region annotated. The record is from RefSeq and is a predicted model, not a curated record. The transcript has 5 exons. NCBI's taxonomy places the organism in Eukaryota, Metazoa, Arthropoda, Insecta, Diptera, Cecidomyiidae.
CGCGACCAUUCGUUUCCAUUUGCAAAAUAUAUGAAAAAUUCUUUCGCAUAUGGAACAUUCGUAUAAGUCGGAAUCCCCUAGAGGAUCCCAUUCCGUUCAUUGAUAUGACAAUGUGAUCCACUCGGAUAGUAAACUAUACUGCACUUUGACUAAAGAUCAGAUGUUAUUGAUGCUGCAAUGUCACAAAUUGAGUAAAAUACAUGAAAAGUUCAGAUGCGGAAGAGUUUUGGCCUACUUAUUCUAGAAAGUGGCGAAAAUAUUAUAAUUUUUGUCAUUUUUCUGUAUUUUUUCUUUAUUGUCUCCAUUUGGUACCAAAAAUGAAUUUAUGACAUGGAAUACUUUGCACACAUUAAUUUCCAUGUUAAUUUCAUACAAUUAUUGAUCAUUCCGGAUCAGGAAACCUUUAAUAUUCAUAAAUUUGUGUUCAGAAGUGAAUAGUUUUGAAUAUCAGGAUUUUUGUAAAUGUUCAAUGAAAUGUUGUUCCAUGGUGAAGGUAUCCAUUUUUGAAUUUAAAUGAAUUUUUCUACUAGAAUAUGUUAUUUGGGUCCUGCUCUGAUGAUUUAAGCAUAAAAAUAAGCAAUAUUGAAAGUAUAGUGUAUUUUUAUGCCUUACACAAAAAUUCAAAAAAAUCAAAAAAAUUCAAAAAAAUCCAAAUUUUUCCCAUUUUUGAUACUUCGCCGUUGAGCCGUGACAUCUCAGUUUAUAUUUUUUUCGCAAAAAAACGCCUGAUUCGUGAUCAGGGGAUCCCAUAGCCAAGGUUAUAACCCUCGCCGUUAAAAUGUUUGAAAAAUGCUACACCCUAAUAUACGUGCGUUUUGUAUCGAUUUGAUCCGAAUAUUUCAACACUUGAUGAAUCGAUUGAUCCGCAGCUCAGACAGAUUGUUGAAUUGAAGUCACCAGUUUAAUACCAAAACAUCAAAGUGUUUUGAAAUGGGUGAUUUGCCAGAAAACUCAUUACGAGUGAAGCGUAUAACCAGAGCAAAAAAAGGCUUCGUCGAAUGCCACGAAAGACAUGGACUUGAAGAUGGUGAUUAUAUAACCUUUUUCCGGGUAUAAUGAAUUCAUUCAAAAGAGUUUAUUUCAAAUUGAAUGAUCUUGCACAAAAAAUUUUCGUUGGAGUUUUUUCUUUUAUCUUUUCAGGUCCGAGGUAUGACCGGUUUAAAUGGCCAGAUUUUUAAAAUAAAAAUUCGUGAUGCAUAUGAAUUCUUCAUUGGUAAUACGGAAAAAUUCAAAGGUAGAUAUGAAGGGGGUGGCGUGGUGUUUCGUCCGGUUCUAGUCUCUCCGCCUAGAAUAUCAUACGAAAUGCGUCAGCAAAACAAUGAAGAUGCAGUGUGGAAUUGGUGGAAAAUGCAGUUUUUCAAUUGGUCGAAAAGAACACUGCAAUUGUUAAAUAACAAUUUUGCAAUUUGAGUGUAACUGAAAAAUUAUUGCUUCUCUCCUUGCAUGUUGCCUUGACAGGUUGCAUUUUUUUUACCGAGCCAAAUAAAAUAGAUAAAACGAAUAUUUAAAAUAAAAAAACGAAAAGCACGGCAACAAAAACUAUACACAUCGCAAGAACAAAAUACGCUGCAUUCGAGGAAAGUGGAGAACAGCGGAAAAGUGUGAAAAUUGUUGUAAAAUCAUUUAGUGAAUCGUGUAUGUGAGUGACUUGUGUUUUUGUGUAGCAAACAUAACCUACACACAACCGGCAUAACACUCACUACAAACAGCGACAUCUGUUGCACGAUAACACAACCAUUUUCGUAUUCGCUGAACAACAAUGAACAAACAUAACUGUAGUGGAAAAAAAUGCAACGGCACUCGAUUUUAUGGCGAUUUUGGAUCGGGCAGCCGUUGGGAUAAUCGUCCGCAAUUCCAUCAAAAUUCGGUCAACAGGUCUUUCCAAAGACUAAAUUAUGUGGACAACCGUCGAAAAAUGCACAACACUUUGAUAAUUGCUGUUGCCAAAAAUGUUUCGACGAUUAUGAGAGGAGAUAUGAGGAUUUUCGUCAGGCUCGUCUCAACCAUCGGCCACCGGCUCAGCGCUGGCAACGGUGGCGUUAACCAUAAAUAACAGCUCAAACUUAUCUGCAAGUUUUUCAUCGAUGGAUUUGAACAUUAGUCACUCAGGUAAUUUAAAAAAUUACAGUAUAUGUUCUCCACAAGGGGAAUUGAGUGCUACGCAUAAAUUUAAUGAUGAAAAAUUUUCAACGCAGAUAAAUAUACAUUCACAAAAUGUGAAUGGUUUACGAACAAAAAUUUCGGAGUUUGCGGCUGAGAUAAUGGUUUCGAAAAUCGUCGAUUUACAUGAUACGCGAAACUCAUUUAAGUGAUGCAAUCAGUUCUGACGACGUUUUUCCACCAAUGUACGAGGUCUAUCGAUGUGACCGUUCAUCAAUCACAGAAAAGGACCAAAUACAUAAAAAGGAGCACGGAGGUGGAGUUUUGAUUGCAGUCAACAACAAACUGAAGUCAGUUUGCAUCGGAACGGGAGACCAUAUCGGGCUCACUGUCAAUGGUCCCCCAAAUUAUCCAUUAUCCAACAUCCAUUCAUCCAUG